UCCUACGGGAGGCAGCAGUGGGGAAUCUUGGACAAUGGGGGCAACCCUGAUCCAGCCAUGCCGCGUGAGUGAUGAAGGCCUUAGGGUCGUAAAGCUCUUUCGCCUGUGAAGAUAAUGACGGUAGCAGGUAAAGAAACCCCGGCUAACUCCGUGCCAGCAGCCGCGGUAAUACGGAGGGGGUUAGCGUUGUUCGGAAUUACUGGGCGUAAAGCGCACGUAGGCGGACUGGAAAGUUGGGAGAGAAAUCCCGGGGUUCUACCCUCGGAAUGCCUCCAAAAAAAAUCGUCUUAAUUUCUUAAAAAAGUGCAAGGAAUUCCCACUGGAGAGGUGAAAUUUAAUAAAUUUUGAAAGAACACCAAUUGGCGAAGGCGGCUCACUGGGUCCAAUUUUGCGUCUUAGGUGCGAAAAUGUGGGGAGACAAAAAGGAAUAAUUACCCUGGUAGUCCACCCCUUUA
This 455-nucleotide ribosomal RNA is filed under the name bacterium A4M_VP8_H5. RNAcentral's name for it is "bacterial SSU rRNA". It matches the Rfam family "Bacterial small subunit ribosomal RNA", at positions 337 to 805 of the family's 1533-position model. The record is from RNAcentral.